AAAUUGAAGAGUUUGAUCAUGGCUCAGAUUGAACGCUGGCGGCAGGCCUAACACAUGCAAGUCGAACGGUAACAGGAAACAGCUUGCUGUUUCGCUGACGAGUGGCGGACGGGUGAGUAAUGUCUGGGAAACUGCCUGAUGGAGGGGGAUAACUACUGGAAACGGUAGCUAAUACCGCAUAACGUCGCAAGACCAAAGAGGGGGACCUUCGGGCCUCUUGCCAUCGGAUGUGCCCAGAUGGGAUUAGCUAGUAGGUGGGGUAACGGCUCACCUAGGCGACGAUCCCUAGCUGGUCUGAGAGGAUGACCAGCCACACUGGAACUGAGACACGGUCCAGACUCCUACGGGAGGCAGCAGUGGGGAAUAUUGCACAAUGGGCGCAAGCCUGAUGCAGCCAUGCCGCGUGUAUGAAGAAGGCCUUCGGGUUGUAAAGU
Molecule: ribosomal RNA, 434 nt
Filed under: Escherichia coli
Lineage: Bacteria; Pseudomonadati; Pseudomonadota; Gammaproteobacteria; Enterobacterales; Enterobacteriaceae
Description: bacterial SSU rRNA
Rfam family: Bacterial small subunit ribosomal RNA
Source: RNAcentral